Molecule: transfer RNA, 74 nt
Organism: Camelus ferus (Wild Bactrian camel)
Lineage: Eukaryota; Metazoa; Chordata; Mammalia; Artiodactyla; Camelidae
Rfam family: tRNA
About the family: Transfer RNA (tRNA) molecules are approximately 80 nucleotides in length. Their secondary structure includes four short double-helical elements and three loops (D, anti-codon, and T loops).
Source: Rfam
GGUGGUAUACAGUUCAGUGAUAGAGCACAUGCCUAACAUGCACAAGGUCCUGGGUUCAAUUCCCAGUACCUCCA